GCCCUAGCUCUGGUGUUUCAUUAAUCCCAUCUCCUUCUGUAUUUCUGGGACCACAGCUCACUUUCUUGAAAGGAGAUGGAUGUAACCCAGUUUCUUGAGACUGCUUUUGAGUAGGAUGUUCAAAGCAAGGAAAUGAUCCAACCUCAGAAUGUUACUUUUCAGUUGAACUAUAAUAUGGAGUCAAUCAACAUGGAUACUGAAUGGAUGUUUAUAGGGCCAGCAAGAAGCAGCCUGGGAAGGCCCAACCUGCUAAGUAGAUCUGAGUAUGAUAGUAGUGGGUGCAUGCACAUGCCAAAAAGGGAAGG
Long non-coding RNA from Tupaia belangeri chinensis (Chinese tree shrew), 305 nucleotides. RefSeq lists it as uncharacterized. The transcript is spliced from 3 exons. The record is from RefSeq and is a predicted model, not a curated record. NCBI's taxonomy places the organism in Eukaryota, Metazoa, Chordata, Mammalia, Scandentia, Tupaiidae.